UCCCUGGUGGCUCAGAGGUUAAAGCGUCUGCCUCCAAUGCAGGAGACCCAGGUUCGAUCCCUGGGUCAGGAAG
RNAcentral lists this transfer RNA (73 nucleotides) under Bos taurus (domestic cattle). RNAcentral's name for it is "tRNA-Trp (CCA) (tRNA-Trp-CCA-31-1)". It matches the Rfam family "tRNA". Rfam says of the family: Transfer RNA (tRNA) molecules are approximately 80 nucleotides in length. Their secondary structure includes four short double-helical elements and three loops (D, anti-codon, and T loops). Lineage: Eukaryota; Metazoa; Chordata; Mammalia; Artiodactyla; Bovidae. RNAcentral also lists the same sequence under 2 other names. The record is from RNAcentral.